CAUAUGUAUGUAUGUAUAUUUAUUCAUGUGACCACAUUUCACAUGUGGUGCUGCUAAACUGCAUACAAAUGCGCAUACUUAAAAAUAAAGUGCAGAAUAAAGUUGCAACGGCUCUUUAAUGAAAUCAACCCACCUGCUGCAGUUCGAGAUUCCUUGGAAAAUUACACACUAGAGAUUAACGUAUUACAGAAACUCCGUUGUUAUUAUAAAAACAGGCAACGCCAAGGCAAAUAACAUAAGCCACAGCAAAUUUAAAUACACAUGUCGCUGGCAUUGCAGUUGUAAUUCCUGCUGCGGUUGUUGUUGUAGCCACCACCGCUGCUGUUGGGUAUUUAUGUGGCCUUAUGCGGCAGUUGUCGUUGUUCCGCCGUUCUGGCGGUGCUGCUCGGCGGAAAUUGUAUUGCGGCCAAUAUGAAACAGGCAGCAGCCGGAGCGGCAGCGGUGGGAGGGGCGCUGCGCCGAAAGCUACAAUGCGGUACGCCAUUACACCAAAAUACUAUCAUAAAAUUUCGCGCAAGCGUGUGUCUCGGCAUUUUAACCGAAACGGGUUUUGAGUCAUGCCACCACUUGCCACUCCUGCUCCUGCGAACAAGCCGCACACGCCCAGCAACGCAUCCUUGCAGUCGAGAACAGUACAUAAAGGGCACACAUGCAGCCAGGAUUGUUACCGUUGAUGUUGUUAGGGGCUGCGGUUGCGCUUAAAUGCGCCAUUAAAGCCA
Molecule: long non-coding RNA, 719 nt
Organism: Drosophila erecta
Lineage: Eukaryota; Metazoa; Arthropoda; Insecta; Diptera; Drosophilidae
Exons: 3
Source: RefSeq, a predicted model, not a curated record